RNAcentral lists this unclassified non-coding RNA (203 nucleotides) under fungal sp. RNAcentral's name for it is "partial internal transcribed spacer region". The stretch from base 1 to 46 matches the Rfam family "Eukaryotic small subunit ribosomal RNA", at positions 1786 to 1831 of the family's 1831-position model. The record is from RNAcentral. Lineage: Eukaryota; Fungi.
AAGUCGUAACAAGGUCUCCGUUGGUGAACCAGCGGAGGGAUCAUUAAAAACGAGUCCCAAGACUUAAAAACCUACCGUGCUCCCCUACGUGGACAAUAGGAAAGCCCUCCGGGGCAUAGGAAAUCUGAGAAAUUGAAGAACUGCGCCCCGGCGCAUGACUAAAACAAAAAUUACAACCCAUAACAAUGGAUCUCUUGGCUCUG